This 467-nucleotide ribosomal RNA is filed under the name uncultured bacterium. RNAcentral's name for it is "partial 16S ribosomal RNA". It matches the Rfam family "Bacterial small subunit ribosomal RNA", at positions 36 to 507 of the family's 1533-position model. The record is from RNAcentral.
UCUUCCCUCUUUCUUCGCGCCUAACACAUGCAAGUCGAACGAUUAAAGCACCUUCGGGUGUGUAUAAAGUGGCGAACGGCUGAGUAACACGUGGGCAACCUGCCCCUUUCAUUGGGAUAGCCACGGGAAACCGUGGAUAAUACCGAAUACUUCGAGACUUCCGCAUGGAAGACUCGAGAAAGCUCCGGCGGAGAGGGAUGGGCCCGCGGCCUGUUAGCUUGUUGGUGGGGUAACGGCCUACCAAGGCAAUGAUGGGUAGCUGGGUUGAGAGACCGACCAGCCAGAUUGGGACUGAGACACGGCCCAGACUCCUACGGGAGGCAGCAGUGGGGAAUCUUGCACAAUGGGCGAAAGCCUGAUGCAGCGACGCCGCGUGCGGGAUGAAGGCCUUCGGGUUGUAAACCGCUUUCAGCAGGGACGAGGCGAAAGUGACGGUACCUGCAGAAGAAGCCCCGGCUAACUACGUG